RNAcentral lists this long non-coding RNA (692 nucleotides) under Monodelphis domestica (gray short-tailed opossum). RNAcentral's name for it is "lncRNA (ENSMODG00000049833.1)". Lineage: Eukaryota; Metazoa; Chordata; Mammalia; Didelphimorphia; Didelphidae. The record is from RNAcentral.
GUGACUAAUCCUUUGAUGAUGGCGAUCUUGGAAAGAAGCAAAGAAGCAAAGAAGCAAAGAAGCAUUCAUUGGAAGUGCCUACUGUGCCAGAAUAAAGAAUCAGGAGCAUGAGUGGGCCAGAUGAGCACUUGGGGGCCAGUCAUUAUUCAAGAAUGGAACAUCUUUGGCAAAAUGGGACCAUAGCUUGAGAGCAGGAAGGAAGCCUAGCUACCAUCUUGUUCAACUCCAUCAUUUUGUAGAAGAAGAAAUGGGGGCUUGGAGGGAAAAAGCAAGUGGCUUGUCAUAGGGCCCUGGAGGAAGCCACAGAGCUGUCUGUCAAUACUAAGUGGGCUGAGAAAACCCAGGAUGAGUGAAGGAGCCUCAGACAUUAUAAUAGUGAUACCAACUCAAGAGGGAAUGAAAGAACCACAGUUCCCCUACAGUCUGGUAGUUAGCUGUAGGAUACAGCACAUGGAAACAGUAUGGCCUAGCAGAUAUAGAGAGGCAACAUGGCAUAAUGAAUGGAAAGCUGGCCUUAAAACCAGGAUGAUCUGGAUUGGUAUCUUUCCUCUGACACAUUCUGGAUAUAGGACCUUUCCUACAUUAAUCACUUGACUUCUUGACAUUCUAGACAACCAUCUAAAACAGUUUCACUGUAGACUAUGGUGAUGACCUAGAGUAGAGAUGGAGGACCUGAGGAUUGUCUUAAUAAG